RNAcentral lists this ribosomal RNA (465 nucleotides) under Vreelandella stevensii. RNAcentral describes it as "partial 16S ribosomal RNA". It matches the Rfam family "Bacterial small subunit ribosomal RNA", at positions 338 to 795 of the family's 1533-position model. Lineage: Bacteria; Pseudomonadati; Pseudomonadota; Gammaproteobacteria; Oceanospirillales; Halomonadaceae. The record is from RNAcentral.
CCUACGGGUAGCAGCAGUGGGGAAUAUUGGACAAUGGGCGAAAGCCUGAUCCAGCCAUGCCGCGUGUGUGAAGAAGGCCUUCGGGUUGUAAAGCACUUUCAGUGGGGAAGAAAGCCUUGGGGCUAAUACCCUCGAGGAAGGACAUCACCCACAGAAGAAGCACCGGCUAACUCCGUGCCAGCAGCCGCGGUAAUACGGAGGGUGCGAGCGUUAAUCGGAAUUACUGGGCGUAAAGCGCGCGUAGGCGGUCUGAUAAGCCGGUUGUGAAAGCCCCGGGCUCAACCUGGGAACGGCAUCCGGAACUGUCAGGCUAGAGUGCAGGAGAGGAAGGUAGAAUUCCCGGUGUAGCGGUGCAAUGCGUAGAGAUCGGGAGGAAUACCAGUGGCGAAGGCGGCCUUCUGGACUGACACUGACGCUGAGGUGCGAAAGCGUGGGUAGCAAACAGGAUUAGAUACCCGGGUAGUC